Molecule: ribosomal RNA, 210 nt
Filed under: uncultured bacterium
Lineage: Bacteria
Description: partial 16S ribosomal RNA
Rfam family: Bacterial small subunit ribosomal RNA
Source: RNAcentral
AGUUCGGAUUGAAGGCUGAAAUUCGCCUUCAUGAAGCCGGAAUUGCUAGUAAUGGCAGGUCAGCAUACUGCCGUGAAUACGUUCCCGGGCCUUGUACACACCGCCCGUCACACCAUGAGAGUUGGGGAUACCCGAAGCCUGUGAGCUAACUUUUAGAGGCAGCAGUCGAAGGUAGAAUCAAUGAUUGGGGUGAAGUCGUAACAAGGUAUC